CUCCUAGAUGUUCUGGGCCGCACGCGCGCUACACUGAACAGUUCAACAAGUCUUAACCUUGGCCGAUAGGUCUGGGUAAUCUUUGAACGCUGUUCGUGAUUGGGAUAGACCUUUGCAAUUAUGGGUCUUCAACGAGGAAUUCCUAGUAAACGCAAGUCAUCAGCUUGCAUUGAUUACGUCCCUGCCCUUUGUACACACCGCCCGUCGCACCUACCGAUUGAAUGGUCCGGUGAAAUCUCGGGACGGCGGCUUGGUCGCUUGCGUCCGACUGCUGAAACUUGAUUAAACCAUAUCAUUUAGAGGAAGGUGAANUCGUAACA
RNAcentral lists this ribosomal RNA (320 nucleotides) under uncultured eukaryote. RNAcentral's name for it is "partial 18S ribosomal RNA". It matches the Rfam family "Eukaryotic small subunit ribosomal RNA", at positions 1470 to 1796 of the family's 1831-position model. The record is from RNAcentral.